Long non-coding RNA from Ornithodoros turicata, 804 nucleotides. RefSeq lists it as uncharacterized. The transcript has 2 exons. The record is from RefSeq and is a predicted model, not a curated record. NCBI's taxonomy places the organism in Eukaryota, Metazoa, Arthropoda, Arachnida, Ixodida, Argasidae.
CAGGCCAUAUGUUUAACGCCCGAUGAGGCCAUUCAACUUGAGAAGAACACAAGACGGCAACACCAAAGCACAACGUGGAAGACAGAGCGACAGCUACGUCUCACUGCCUCGAAUUUUGGUGUAGUUACAAGGAGGGUGGAGUGGACAGCUGAUGGGAUUCGGGCACCGCUUUUUCCCAAGGAUAUUUCCAGGGUCCCAGCCGUAAGGUAUGGCCAAAUGAACGAGGUGGUGGCUGCUCAACGGUACCAAGAUGUACUUCAAAGUCUUGGGCAUGAUGUGACUCUUUUUGGUUGCGGACUACUAGUUAACCCGGAGACACCUUGGUUGGGCGCAUUACCAGACAGGGUUGUGUUUGACCCGUAUGAAUCCCAGCCACGCGGAGUCGUGGAAAUCAAGUGUCCUCACUCACUUCGGAAUGCUUCUGCCUCUGAUAUUGAAACGUUGGACUACAUCGUAAAGGAUGAGCAAGGCAGACUUCACCUUUCUGUGGACCACAAGUACUACAUAUUACCAAAUCCUGGGCCAAAUGAGGCUCUCGGGUCUGCCUUGGGGAGACUUCGUCGUAUAUUCAGAUGCCUUCAUAUUUGUCGAAAGGAUAAGGUUUGACCAUAGAGAAUGGGAAGCAACGAAGCUGCACCUCGAAAGCUUCUAUUUUGAUAUAAUGUUAGGAGAACUCCACCAGAAGCAGUGAGGCUUCCAUGUAGGUUCUCAACAGAUGAUGCUUUGAGCCCAAUGCUAGUCAUCUUAGUUUAAUUAGUCUUGUAACUUGUUAGCUCUGAAAAAAUAUAUGCAGCAUAAAACGUA